RNA transcript from Nannospalax galili (Upper Galilee mountains blind mole rat), 2790 nucleotides. It is a transcript of the gene named DNA polymerase alpha 2, accessory subunit, with no coding region annotated. The record is from RefSeq and is a predicted model, not a curated record. NCBI's taxonomy places the organism in Eukaryota, Metazoa, Chordata, Mammalia, Rodentia, Spalacidae. The transcript is spliced from 18 exons.
CCGGUCUUCGCGCAUGCGUACCUCGGGCGACGCCGUUGGCGGGUUAUUCCAGGUUCUUCUCCCGGUAGAGCUGAAAGGUAGCUUUCGGACGCAGGUUUUCCGCUGGAAAGCGACUUUUGGAGGGUUCACCGCCGCCUUCCCUACCGGGAUAAGUUGAAAAAGAAGUAGUUCUCUUGGUCGUCGGAGGGCAUAGACCCAGUGGUCACGUGGCGGGUCGCUGUCACCUUCCGCCCGGCUCCUCCGGGGUCACCAUGGCCGUGUCCACCCAGCAGCUGGCGGAGGAGCUGCAGAUCUUCGGCCUGGACUGCGAGGAUGCCCUGAUGGAGAAGUUGGCCGAGCUUUGUGUUCUGUACAGACAGAAUGAGGAGGGGAUGGUGGGCGAGCUCAUCGCCUUCUGCACCAGCGCAGGGAAGGCUCGCCUUACCUCAGAGAUCCUGAACUCUUUUGAGCAUGAGGUUCUGAACAAAAAAUUAUCCAAAGCCUGGCACAGCACCUCCAAGGACAGUGAGCACGCGGGAGCCAGAGACAUUGUCUCCAUACAGGAGCUGAUUGAAGUGGAGGAGGAAGAGGAGUCCCUUUUGAACUCUUACACCACACCCUCUAAGGGCCCUCAGAAGCGAGCUAUCAGCACCCCAGAAACCCCCCUAACAAAAAGGAGUGUGUCCACUCGCAGCCCACAUCAGAUUCUCUCACCAUCCAGUUUCUCUCCAGGUGCUACCCCCUCCCAGAAGUACAGCUCCAGAAAUAAUCGAGGAGAAGUGGUGACCACCUUUGGCUCGGCACUGGGCGUGGCUUGGUCUGGGAGAGGAGGAGCUGGGAACAUCAGCCUCAAGGUCCUAGAGCCACUAACAGGCAGCUACAAAUCAAUGUUUCAGAAGCUCCCAGACAUCCGAGAAGUUCUGACCUGUAAGAUAGAAGAGCUCGGCCGCGAACUCAAGGAGCAUUACAAGAUUGAGGCCUUUACUCCUCUUGGAGUCCCAGCACAGGAGCCCAUCACCCUCCUGGGCCAGGUUGGCUGUGACAGCAACGGGAAGCUGAAUAGCAAGUCAGUGAUUCUGGAGGGAGACCGGGAGCAUUCCCUGGGCACGCAGAUUCCUGUGGAUCUGUCUGAGCUUGAGGAAUACUCUCUCUUUCCUGGACAGGUUGUAAUUAUGGAAGGAUUCAACACCACUGGUAGAAAACUUACUGCUACCAAACUCUACGAGGGUGUGCCGCUUCCGUUUUAUCAGCCCACUGAAGAGGAUGGAGAUUUUGAGCAAACCAUGGUCUUAGUGGCCUGUGGACCAUACACCACAUCUGACAGCAUCACAUACAACCCCCUGCUUGACCUGAUCAGCAUCAUCACCCAUGACCGGCCGGAUGUCUGCAUCCUGUUUGGACCUUUCCUGGAUGUUAAACAUGAGGAGGUGGAGAACUGUCGACUGACAAGUUCAUUCGAGGAUGUUUUCAAGCAGUGCCUGAGAACAGUUAUCGAAGGGACAAGAAGCUCCGGCUCUCACCUUGUCUUCAUCCCAUCCCUGAGGGACGUGCACCAUGAGCCCGUGUACCCACAGCCACCUUUCAUCUACUCCGAGCUGUCUCAAGAGGACAAAAAGCGAGUGCAGUUUGUGUCGGAGCCUUGCAGCCUCUCCAUAAAUGGAGUGAUCUUUGGCUUGACGUCCACAGACCUGCUGUUUCACAUGGGGGCUGAGGAGAUCAGUAGAAUCACUGACCUGGAACUCACUGUGUAGACCAGGCUGGCUUUGAUCUGACAGAGAUCUGGCUGCCUCUGCUGGGAUUAGAGGCAUGCAACACCGUGCCUGGCUUAGACCGGGUGUCUUAAGAGCCACACUUUAUGCCAAAAACUUUGGCCAUUUGUGUCUCUGCCAAAGGUGGGAUCAAGUAUGCUUGUUCCCAUCUACCGGGUCUAAGACCUCAAAGAACCACAUCUGUGUGUCUUCGCAUGAAGGUACAGGCUGAAAGUCUACUCUCUACUCCCUUUUCCCUUUCCUCUCUCUACUCCCUUUUUCCUCGUGUUCUAUUUGUGACCUGAGCACACAGGUUUGCCUUUCUGUGGAGGGUGAACUGUGGAUUUACCAGAAUAGUGAACGUGUGGCUGGCAGAGAACCAGACUCAGCCAGACCUGGCCUCUGGGCUUGGCAGUUGGCUCAUCUGUCAAGUCUUGCUUGAUGGGAAGGAGAUGGGCGAGUCAGGAGUUCAGGAGCUGGGUGUGUGCUUUGGACUGAGGUUUGACACAAAGUCAGCGACCUGUGGUGGUGAAGUUGCAUCUUCUUGCACAAGACGGUGCCAGGGCUGAGACCUCCCUUAUCCUGGUUUCCAGGAUUUUUCUCUUUCCGAGGCCCAGAGCCUCGCUGCCCUGUCCUGGGGAACAACCCACUGCCUGGGGUGGGCCCCAAGCUUCCCCAGAGGCUUCCUGCUAUAGCUGUGUUCCUGCCGUUUAGCUUUUCCCCUGCUAAGUCUGAAGAGGCCUGGGCUGGAAACCAGGUUCCACUGUCUAUCUCUUGCUCGCUUCCUUUCCCAGCUCUUCCGGGACUUCCGACAGAUUCAGCAGAAUUCUCAAGCACAUCCUGACCCAGAGGAGCUACUACCCGCUCUACCCACCCCAUGAGGACAUGGCCAUAGACUAUGAGAAUUUCUACACCUACGCACAGCUGCUGGUCACUCCAGAUGUCUUCAUAGUCCCAUCAGAGCUGAGGUACUUUGUGAAGGACAUAUUCGGCUGUGUCUGUAUGAAUCCUGGACGGCUCACCAAAGGGCAGGUGGGAGGUACCUUCGGCCGUCUUUACCUCA